Molecule: non-coding RNA, 98 nt
Filed under: Bacillus tuaregi
Lineage: Bacteria; Bacillati; Bacillota; Bacilli; Caryophanales; Bacillaceae
Description: SAM riboswitch (S box leader)
Rfam family: SAM riboswitch aptamer (S box leader)
About the family: The SAM riboswitch is found upstream of a number of genes which code for proteins involved in methionine or cysteine biosynthesis in Gram-positive bacteria. The SAM riboswitch acts at the level of transcription termination control.
Source: RNAcentral
UCUUAUCAAGAGCGGUGGAGGGACUGGCCCGAUGAAGCCCAGCAACCGGGGAAACACGGUGCUAAAUCCAGCAGAGUGAAAGACUCUGACAGAUAAGG